AUACGGAGGGUGCAAGCGUUGUCCGGAUUUAUUGGGUUUAAAGGGUGCGUAGGCGGCCUAUUAAGUCAGUGGUGAAAGCCGGUAGCUCAACUAUCGAAAUGCCAUUGAUACUGAUAGGCUUGAGUACAGUUGAGGUAGUUGGAAUGAGUAGUGUAGCGGUGAAAUGCAUAGAUAUUACUCAGAACACCGAUUGCGAAGGCAGAUUACUAAACUGGAACUGACGCUGAGGCACGAAAGUGUGGGGAUCAAACAGGAUUAGAUACCCUGGUAGUCCACACUGUAAACGUUGGAUACUCGAUGCGCGCGAUAAACUGUGAGUGUCCAAGCGAAAGCGAUAAGUAUCCCACCUGGGAAGUACGCCCGCAAGGGUGAA
Molecule: ribosomal RNA, 373 nt
Filed under: uncultured bacterium
Lineage: Bacteria
Description: bacterial SSU rRNA
Rfam family: Bacterial small subunit ribosomal RNA
Source: RNAcentral